GUGGGGGAUAUUGCACAAUGGAGGAAACUCUGAUGCAGCGACGCCGCGUGAGUGAAGAAGUAUUUCGGUAUGUAAAGCUCUAUCAGCAGGGAAGAUAAUGACAGUACCUGACUAAGAAGCCCCGGCUAACUACGUGCCAGCAGCCGCGGUAAUACGUAGGGGGCAAGCGUUAUCCGGAUUUACUGGGUGUAAAGGGAGCGUAGACGGAAUGGCAAGUCUGAAGUGAAAUCCUGCGGCUUAACUGCAGAAUUGCUUUGGAAACUGUCAAUCUGGAGUGUUGGAGAGGUAAGCGGAAUUCCUGGUGUAGCGGUGAAAUGCGUAGAUAUCAGGAAGAACACCGGAGGCGAAGGCGGCUUACUGGACAAUAACUGACGUUGAGGCUCGAAAGCGUGGGAAGCAAACAGGAUUAGAUACCCUAGUAGUCC
This 425-nucleotide ribosomal RNA is filed under the name uncultured bacterium. Its description in RNAcentral is "partial 16S ribosomal RNA". It matches the Rfam family "Bacterial small subunit ribosomal RNA", at positions 354 to 796 of the family's 1533-position model. The record is from RNAcentral.